GACGAACGCUGGCGGCGUGCUUAACACAUGCAAGUCGAACGGAAAGGCCCUGCUUUUGUGGGGUGCUCGAGUGGCGAACGGGUGAGUAACACGUGAGUAACCUGCCCUUGACUUUGGGAUAACUUCAGGAAACUGGGGCUAAUACCGGAUAGGAGCUCCUGCUGCAUGGUGGGGGUUGGAAAGUCUCGGCUGUUGGGGAUGGACUCGCGGCUUAUCAGCUUGUUGGUGGGGUAGUGGCUUACCAAGGCUUUGACGGGUAGCCGGCCUGAGAGGGUGACCGGCCACAUUGGGACUGAGAUACGGCCCAGACUCCUACGGGAGGCAGCAGUGGGGAAUAUUGCACAAUGGGCGGAAGCCUGAUGCAGCAACGCCGCGUGCGGGAUGACGGCCUUCGGGUUGUAAACCGCUUUCGCCUGUGACGAAGCGUGAGUGACGGUAAUGGGUAAAGAAGCACCGGCUAACUACGUG
Molecule: ribosomal RNA, 468 nt
Filed under: uncultured bacterium
Lineage: Bacteria
Description: partial 16S ribosomal RNA
Rfam family: Bacterial small subunit ribosomal RNA
Source: RNAcentral